This 256-nucleotide ribosomal RNA is filed under the name uncultured bacterium. Its description in RNAcentral is "partial small subunit ribosomal RNA". It matches the Rfam family "Bacterial small subunit ribosomal RNA", at positions 26 to 287 of the family's 1533-position model. The record is from RNAcentral.
AGAUUGAACGCUGGCGGCAGGCCUAACACAUGCAAGUCGAGCGAGAAAGGUCUUCGGGCUGAGUACAGCGGCGGACGGGUGAGUAACGCGUAGGAAUCUACCUGGUAGUGGGGGACAACAUGGGGAAACUCAUGCUAAUACCGCAUACGCCCUAAGGGGGAAAGCGGGGGACCUUCGGGCCUCGCGCUAUCGGAUGAGCCUGCGUAGGAUUAGCUAGUUGGUAGGGUAAAGGCCUACCAAGGCGACGAUCCUUAGC